RNAcentral lists this ribosomal RNA (371 nucleotides) under uncultured organism. RNAcentral's name for it is "bacterial SSU rRNA". It matches the Rfam family "Bacterial small subunit ribosomal RNA", at positions 527 to 896 of the family's 1533-position model. The record is from RNAcentral.
CGGGGGGGCAAGCGUUGUUCGGAAUUACUGGGCGUAAAGGGCUCGUAGGCGGCCAACUAAGUCAGACGUGAAAUCCCCAGGCUCAACCUGGGAACUGCGUCUGAUACUGGUUGGCUUGAAUCCGGGAGAGGGAUGCAGAAUUCCAGGUGUAGCGGUGAAAUGCGUAGAUAUCUGGAGGAAUACCGGUGGCGAAGGCGGCAUCCUGGACCGGCAUUGACGCUGAGGAGCGAAAGCCAGGGGAGCAAACGGGAUUAGAUACCCCGGUAAUCCUGGCCCUAAACGAUGAAUGCUUGGUGUAACGGGUAUCGAUCCCUGUUGUGCCGAAGCUAACGCAUUAAGCAUUCCGCCUGGGGAGUACGGUCGCAAGGCUG